UACAGAGGCCCCAAGCAUUACCCGGAAUCACUGGGCGUAAAGGGUUUGUAGGCGGUCGUGUUAGUCUUUCGUGAAAGCCCGCGGGCUCAACCCGUGGAACGCGCAAGAAACGGCACGACUUCGAGGACACGAGAGGUAUAUGGAACUCAUGGUGUAGGGGUGAAAUCCGUUGAUAUCAUGGGGAACACCAAAUGCGAAGGCAAUAUACUGGCGUGCUCCUGACGCUGAGAAACGAAAGCGUGGGUAGCGAACGGG
RNAcentral lists this ribosomal RNA (255 nucleotides) under uncultured bacterium. RNAcentral describes it as "partial 16S ribosomal RNA". It matches the Rfam family "Bacterial small subunit ribosomal RNA", at positions 524 to 776 of the family's 1533-position model. The record is from RNAcentral.